RNAcentral lists this unclassified non-coding RNA (237 nucleotides) under uncultured fungus. Its description in RNAcentral is "sequence contains ITS2". The stretch from base 1 to 52 matches the Rfam family "5.8S ribosomal RNA", at positions 103 to 154 of the family's 154-position model. The record is from RNAcentral. Lineage: Eukaryota; Fungi.
AACGCACAUUGCGCCCCUUGGUAUUCCGAGGGGCAUGCCUGUUCGAGCGUCAUUAUAACCACUCAAGCUUUAGCUUGGUAUUGGGGUUCGCGGUCUCGCGGCCCUUAAAACUAGUGGCGGUGCCAUCUGGCUCUAAGCGUAGUAAUUCUCUCGCUACAGGGUCCAGGUGGUUACUUGCCAAAACCCCCCAUUUCAAUGGUUGACCUCGGAUCAGGUAGGGAUACCCGCUGAACUUAA